UACAGAGGUCUCAAGCGUUGUUCGGAUUCAUUGGGCGUAAAGGGUGCGUAGGUGGCGGGGUAAGUCAGGUGUGAAAUCUCGAGGCUCAACCUCGAAACUGCACUUGAUACUGCCUUGCUCGAGUACUGGAGAGGAGAUUGGAAUUUACGGUGUAGCAGUGAAAUGCGUAGAUAUCGGAAGGAAGACCAGUGGCGAAGGCGAAUCUCUGGACAGUUACUGACACUGAGGCACGAAGGCCAGGGGAGCAAACGGG
RNAcentral lists this ribosomal RNA (253 nucleotides) under uncultured bacterium. Its description in RNAcentral is "partial 16S ribosomal RNA". It matches the Rfam family "Bacterial small subunit ribosomal RNA", at positions 524 to 776 of the family's 1533-position model. The record is from RNAcentral.